AGCCCCAGGUAACAUCUCCCUGUUGAUUGCUCGAGAGGAGAAAUGGGGGAGCUUGAAUAUGAGAAUGGGAGUGGUCAGCUGUCUUUGCUUGGCCUUUUGAAUUGGCUGUUUUCUCCAUGGAGGGCUCUCUGGAAACAGGAGCUCUGGCCCUGACAUGGUGAGGGACAGACAGCAUGGGACUGUGCAGAGACUCUCCGGCAUUCCGCUGAGUGCCCUGCUGAGGUUGAAGGGAAUGGUAUACAGAGAAAGGGGCUGCUAUGGUCAAGGCGUGUCUCCCCAGAGAGCCUCCGCUGCCCACCCCUCAGAGGAUUCUGGGUCCUCGCUUAUAGGGGACUAUUCCCUUCUAGAGGGGCCAAGAGAGCAUCCUCAUGAGAUGGGGCUCUCCCUUCCUUCCUGCACCCUCAGUACUUCAAGUAUGAGUUCCCUGAAGGCGUGGACUCGGUAAUUGUCAAGGUGACCUCCAACAAGGCCUUCCCCUGCUCAGUCAUCUCCAUCCAGGAUGUGCUGUGUCCUGUCUAUGACCUGGACAACAAUGUAGCCUUCAUCGGCAUGUACCAGACGAUGACCAAGAAGGCGGCCAUCACUGUACAGCGCAAAGACUUCCCCAGCAACAGCUUUUAUGUGGUGGUGGUGGUGAAGACCGAAGACCAAGCCUGCGGGGGCUCCCUGCCUUUCUACCCCUUCGUAGAAGAUGAACCGGUUGAUCAA
Molecule: small RNA, 708 nt
Filed under: Pongo abelii (Sumatran orangutan)
Lineage: Eukaryota; Metazoa; Chordata; Mammalia; Primates; Hominidae
Description: retained intron
Source: RNAcentral